RNAcentral lists this transfer RNA (77 nucleotides) under Candidatus Methylomirabilota bacterium. RNAcentral describes it as "candidate division NC10 bacterium (hot springs metagenome) tRNA-Gly". It matches the Rfam family "tRNA". Rfam says of the family: Transfer RNA (tRNA) molecules are approximately 80 nucleotides in length. The record is from RNAcentral. Lineage: Bacteria; Methylomirabilota (SeqCode).
GCGGGAAUAGCUCAGUUGGUUAGAGCAUCAGCCUUCCAAGCUGAGGGUCGCGGGUUCGAAUCCCGUUUCCCGCUCCA